CUGCAUCCAAGAGGUCAUACAAACCAGCCUGUCAAGUGUUCCACUUGAACCCAUACCACUAAUCAUUAAUGUGAGAAUUUACCAAAUCAAGAUUUUUAGAGUUUUUUUUUUUUAUUGGUCAUGCAACUAAGCCAAUAUAUAUAUAGAGCUGUCGUAUAAGAUCCAGAUAGAUAAUUUGGUAAAAGAGAAGUUGAUAUCACUCUGCUGUGCACUCAACAAUUUAUUGGGAAAUGUUU
RNAcentral lists this unclassified non-coding RNA (236 nucleotides) under Hevea brasiliensis (rubber tree). Lineage: Eukaryota; Viridiplantae; Streptophyta; Magnoliopsida; Malpighiales; Euphorbiaceae. The record is from RNAcentral.